AAAAUCCGUCGACUUUAGAAAUCGUGAGCCCUCUAUCCCCA
RNAcentral lists this transfer RNA (41 nucleotides) under Inga nobilis. Its description in RNAcentral is "partial tRNA-Leu". Lineage: Eukaryota; Viridiplantae; Streptophyta; Magnoliopsida; Fabales; Fabaceae. The record is from RNAcentral.